UGUCAUGGCGGGUUGCGCAGGGACCUCUUCGGAGGUGCCGGUUCGUAUCCCGGUCCGCCAACCUUGUGCAAUUCGCCACCCUU
This 83-nucleotide non-coding RNA is filed under the name Pseudomonas rhizosphaerae. Lineage: Bacteria; Pseudomonadati; Pseudomonadota; Gammaproteobacteria; Pseudomonadales; Pseudomonadaceae. The record is from RNAcentral.